This 200-nucleotide long non-coding RNA is filed under the name Elaeis guineensis (African oil palm). RNAcentral's name for it is "long non-coding RNA (EGUI_LNC039258)". Lineage: Eukaryota; Viridiplantae; Streptophyta; Magnoliopsida; Arecales; Arecaceae. The record is from RNAcentral.
GGUCAAUGAAAUCAUCAUCAGCGUGCAUAUGUGCAUACAGACGAUCGGACACAUCCUAACAACUAAAACAUUGUGUAUUGAUUCUGGAUCUUCAUUAGUGCACGCUUCGUACAAUAAAAUAUUGUACGGACUUAGAUAGCUGCCAUGUCAUUUAUCUCAAACAUAGAUAAUUAUGAAUAUUAAAUAUUAUAUUUCAGUGG